CGGCAAGCCUCCAGCAUGGUUGGGUCUGCUGUGACCCUGUGCAUUCCUACAAUACUUGUCAGAAGUUUUGAAAUGGUUUGAGGCCUUGCCCUGCUCCAUCCAGUGUAAGGUUAUAGAACUUUCAGACAACU
Small nucleolar RNA from Oryctolagus cuniculus (rabbit), 131 nucleotides. The record is from Ensembl. NCBI's taxonomy places the organism in Eukaryota, Metazoa, Chordata, Mammalia, Lagomorpha, Leporidae.